Anguilla rostrata (American eel) is the source of this 2748-nucleotide long non-coding RNA. RefSeq lists it as uncharacterized. The record is from RefSeq and is a predicted model, not a curated record. NCBI's taxonomy places the organism in Eukaryota, Metazoa, Chordata, Actinopteri, Anguilliformes, Anguillidae. The transcript has 5 exons.
UUUAAUUGCUCUGUAAACUACUGUUCAUUUUAAUGAAAAUCAAAACGACAAAUUUCAGUUGCAUGCUUAGUGAUAGUGUGUGCUUGAGCUGUAUUCCAGUUGAUUGCACAAACAUGUUUUAAAUGCUGUUAAAUUCUUCAUGAAAAUGAGCAGUGAGGCAUUCAGUCCAUCUUCUACCUUAAGCCAGUUGAGACUACUGUGCAUUUUUUAUAUCUGGGAGGCCCCUGCGAUGCUGUGAUUCCUCUUCUCCCGGCACUGAUGGCCCACAGACCUGGCUCUGGGUGGACGCGAGUAUUUACUGUACUGCAGAAUACCAAGCAUCUCAUAAGGAGACAAUAGCCAUGUUACACACAGAAAUGAAGAAAAUUAUGCUGAGCAUGCACACAGAGACCGAGACUGAAAGACAGAGAGAGAGAGAGACACACACUACAUAUUCCAACACUGCUACAAUUUGACGACGGACUACAAUAUGAAGGCUUGGUAAAGUAAAUGUGACCGCUCCUAACAAAAUGUAAAAAUAAUAGCGGCUGUAGGGAGAACAUAACUGCUGUUGACAGAACAUUGGCUCAACAUCGCUCACAACUCUCCUUAUACUAUGGUAUGAAAGGGAAACACAAGAGGCAGCUGAUGAAUAUUCUGUCACAUCAUCAUUAUUCUAAAUGCCUCUCUUAUUCAUGCCACAUUGUUUUCGGCCCUACACAAUCCUGCUGUCCCUUGUGCUGUUAUGGGAUGGAAGAUGAGUGCUGUUGUAACCAUGGCCCUGAAUAAAGCUACCAGCAGCAUCCUGGACUGCACUGAGGGACACACCAGGUUAAUUUUGUGGAUGGCCCCAACUUUGUUGGCCACUAUUCCACCUCACCUCCGCCUACUUGCCAAUUGUGACACAAAAGAAGGUGGGCCCAAAUCUGCUGAAAAUCUCUCCAAAUGGCACCAAACCUCUCCGAAUUGGAAUAUUGCGUAUAUCUUUUUUCCCCAGCCAUAUUCCACUUCCAGAUGCUUAUUCCAUUGAGUGUGGUACCCUCUAGAAUCCCACAGAACAAAUAUUCUUUAUUUACCCAUUCUCUCUUUUUGACUAAACCUGCUAUUUCAGUAAAAUGCUGUCCUUUUGGAGAGCUUCAAUGUAUAAAAUGUGUUCAUAAUGGUUAAUUAUCACACAAACUAAAUUCACUUAGAAACAAUCAAACCACUUGGUUUUACCUUGCUGUGUGCUCAGACCUGCAAUCAGCUCCCAGACUGUUUGUUAGCAGUAAACCUCCCAAUCACAAUCAAGUGGGAGCUCACAAGAAGGAAAAUGACAAAAAUAUAAAAACAAAUCAUGAAUGAUUUACAAUAAUAUAGUACCCUUCUGCACUGCACCACUACUGCAGUGUCUUUCAUGCAAACCAUUUGCUGAUAAACAGACAAACUCAUUUUUAGCUUGUACUGCUGGGACAAAAUAUCAUGUACAGCCUGUCCAUAAACUGGUUUUUGCUCUUUGUCCCAUUUCCUCUGUGCUGACCCCCGGGCUGAGGAAUCAAUUUGUGGCCAUCACCCUUCAAACCCUAUUCAUUAGAACUUGGCAUUCACCUUAAGUUAAGCUCAACCACUUCAUUAGUUUGUAAUAGGAAGGUUAUUCUCUCACUCUUGGGUUCUCUCUCUCUUUCUCUCUCCCUCCCCCCCUCCCUCCCUCUCCGGCUGCUUUCCUCAGCUCUCAGCAACACAUUACACAGGGACAUAUGGUUUCUGCCCAAGUGCAAAACUAAAUCAACCAAUUGUCACUGGGCUCUGACAGGGUAGCUGAAAUCGGUUUUUGUUCAGUGGUUAAGACCCCCACUGAAAUCUGAUGCUUCCUCUGGUUGCUUUUCUCCCUCCCCUGGACUUAAAGGUGUUUUAAAAAUAUUUUUAAGAUUUAGGGAGUCAUUAUUGCUGAGAGUCUCCAGACGAGUGUGUGAGUGAGCUGAGCUCUGUCUGGGAGCCUCACCACUGAGCCACAGGGCUACCACAUCAUUGGCAGAUAUACACUCGCAUUUAAAUUAAACUGACGUUGCACUGGAUUGUAUCGGUGGCUUCUUCUGCAAUGACUCUGUGGUUGCCGUGUGGCCUUCUCCCCAAGGUGUCAGCAGCAGGCUUGAGUUUGUGAUCCUGUCACACCUUGUGACUGCACGUGCUCUGCUGGGGAUUGUGGGGGAAACACUUGUGUUUAUUGGAAAUAACUCGUUUUUAGCACCACCUGCAUCAAACAGACAGAAGAAGAGGAGAGGGAGAGAGAGAGAGAAGGUAAGAUUGAGCAAGUGAGAGUGAGAGAGCAGCCAAGAGAGAGCAAGCAAGUGAGAGUGAGAGAGAGCAAGAGGGACAAUAAUAUGAGAAGAGGGAGAGACGGACAGCGAUGGAGAGAGAAGGUGAGAUCGAGAAAGAGAGAGGGUGAGAGAAAUUAUGGAGGAAAGAAAAAAUAUGGCUUCAAUUGUGGUGUCCAGUCAUGCAGGACUGUAAUAGGACCAUAAUGCAGGUUUUGAGUUAUAACUCCCCUCAGAGUAGAGUGGCUGUUCUGGAAAUACUGUGAGAUGCUAUCAAGAAAAGGGGAGUUAGAUUGAUGGUGUUUUACAGUUACAUCACCAACAGGCAAGCAGGCAUGCACGUGCGCGCAUGCGCGCGCACACACACACAGAAAACCAUUAACUUGGAAAUAAAGUGCCUCUGAAUUAAAAAAAAAAAAAACAUUAUGUAUGGAGGGAAAUGCAAUUUUUUAAAUCCCCUAUCAUAUUUGUUUUU